Molecule: ribosomal RNA, 266 nt
Filed under: uncultured bacterium
Lineage: Bacteria
Description: partial 16S ribosomal RNA
Rfam family: Bacterial small subunit ribosomal RNA
Source: RNAcentral
UACAGAGGGUGCAAGCGUUAAUCGGAAUUACUGGGCGUAAAGCGCGCGUAGGUGGUUCGUUAAGUUGGAUGUGAAAUCCCCGGGCUCAACCUGGGAACUGCAUUCAAAACUGACGAGCUAGAGUAUGGUAGAGGGUGGUGGAAUUUCCUGUGUAGCGGUGAAAUCGUAGAUAUGAGGAAGACACCAGUGGCGAAGGCGACCACCUGGACUGAUACUGACACUGAGGUGCGAAAGCGGGGGAGAAACAGGAUUAGAUACCCGUAGUC